RNAcentral lists this ribosomal RNA (334 nucleotides) under uncultured eukaryote. RNAcentral's name for it is "partial 18S ribosomal RNA". It matches the Rfam family "Eukaryotic small subunit ribosomal RNA", at positions 1470 to 1796 of the family's 1831-position model. The record is from RNAcentral.
CCCUUAGAUGUCCGGGGCCGCACGCGCGCUACACUGAAGGAAUCAGCGUGGCUUUCUCCCUGACCCGAAAGGGUUGGGAAACCCGUUGAAUCUCCUUCGUGAUAGGGAUUGGGGCUUGAAAUUGUUCCCCAUGAACGAGGGAUUCCCAGUAAGCGCGAGUCAUAAGCUCGCGUUGAUUACGUCCCUGCCCUUUGUACACACCGCCCGUCGCUACUACCGAUUGAACGGUUUAGUGAGGGCCUCGGAUUGGUCUCGGCCCGCUCUUUACCGGGCGGCGCCGUUGGUCGAGAAGACGCUCGAACUUGAUCGUUUAGAGGAAGUAAAAGUCGUAACA